This 1240-nucleotide ribosomal RNA is filed under the name metagenome. RNAcentral's name for it is "bacterial LSU rRNA". It matches the Rfam family "Bacterial large subunit ribosomal RNA", at positions 1564 to 2815 of the family's 2925-position model. The record is from RNAcentral.
UGAAUACGAGAUGCUACGGCGUCGAAGCAGUCUAUGUCAUACUUCCAAGAAAAGCUUGCACUGUCAUAAACAAAUAAUGCCUGUACCAUAACCGACACAGGUGGGUAGGUAGAGUAUACUAAGGGGCGCGAGAUAACUCUCUCUAAGGAACUCGGCAAAAUGACUCCGUAACUUCGGGAGAAGGAGUGCCUUAUUUAUAAGGUUGCAAUAACAAGAUCCAAGCAACUGUUUACCAAAAACACAGGUCUCCGCUAAGUCGUAAGACGAUGUAUGGGGGCUGACGCCUGCCCAGUGCCAAGGUUAAAGAAGUUGGUUAGCAUCCGCGAAGCUGAUAACUGAAGCCCUGGUGAACGGCGGCCGUAACAAUAACGGUCCUAAGGUAGCGAAAUUCCUUGUCGGGUAAGUUCCGACCCGCACGAAAGGCGUAAUGAUUUGGAUACUGUCUCGGAGAGGGGCUCGGUGAAAUAGACUUGUCUGUGAAGAUGCGGACUACCUGCACCAGGACAGAAAGACCCUAUGAAGCUUUACUGUAACCUGAAAUUGAAAUUGGACUUUACUUGCGCAGUAUAGGUGGGAGGCGUUGAGAAUAUUCUUGCGGGAUUAUUGGAGCCAUCAGUGAGAUACCACUCUUGUAAUGUUAGAUUUCUAACUUUGUAUCAUUAUCUGGUCAAAGAACAGUUUCAGGCGGGCAGUUUGACUGGGGCGGUCGCCUCCUAAACGGUAACGGAGGCGCACAAAGGUUUCCUCUGAACGGGUAGAAAUCGUAUCUAGAGUGUAAAGGCAUAAGGAAGCUUGACUGUGAGACCUACAAGUCGAGCAGGGACGAAAGUCGGUCUUAGUGAUCUGACGGUGCUGAGUGGAAAGGCCGUCACUCAACGGAUAAAAGUUACUCUAAGGAUAACAGGCUGAUCUCCCCCAAGAGUUCACAUCGACGGGGAGGUUUGGCACCUCGAUGUCGGCUCAUCGCGUCCUGGGGCGGUAGUACGUCCCAAGGGUUGGGCUGUUCGCCCAUGAAAGCGGUACGCGAGCUGGGUUCAGAACGUCGUGAGACAGUUCGGUCCAUAUCCGGUGUAGGCGUUAGAAUAUUGAGAGGAGCCUUCUUUAGUACGUGAGGACCGAGAAGGACAUACCUCUGGUGUACCAGUUAUCGUGCCAACGGUAAACGCUGGGUAGCUAUGUGUGGAGUGGAUAACCGCUGAAAGCAUCUAAGUGGGAAGCCCACCUCAAGAUAAGUAUUCUC